CGUAGUACGAAGCUAUAAUUCCCUAUCUGUAAAUGAAAGUGAAAGAUUUAAAGCCAGAGUCACCAUUUCAGCAAGGAACACAAAUAAGAUUCUGGAAUAAUAUAAAGGUAUUUGCAUUGCAAGAGGUCUCAGCAGGAAUCAUCUGCUCUGUAUCAACACCAAAAAAUGGAAGAACCUGCUUCUGAAAUGAGCCCCCCUGUGGGAUAUAAGGAGAGAGGAGCUGCUUCUGAAAUGACCCCCCCUGUGGGGUGUAAGGAGAGAGGAGCUGUGUCUGAAAUGACCCCCCCUUUGGGGUGUAAAUCAAAGGGGCCUGAGAGUGUCCUGAUGGAGAGAGCAGACUCACCUGCACCCAGCUGUGUUUCCAUGAAGAGUGACAAGUCGAUGAGGCCCCCACUCGAAUUCAGAAAGGAAUCUUUCCCUACAGAUCAAAGGUAAAUAUGCAUUUAAGGA
Paramormyrops kingsleyae is the source of this 450-nucleotide non-coding RNA. NCBI's taxonomy places the organism in Eukaryota, Metazoa, Chordata, Actinopteri, Osteoglossiformes, Mormyridae. The record is from RefSeq and is a predicted model, not a curated record.